UACGUAGGUGGCAAGCGUUGUCCGGAUUUACUGGGUGUAAAGGGCGUGCAGCCGGGAAUGCAAGUCAGAUGUGAAAUCCCGCGGCUCAACCGCGGAACUGCAUUUGGAACUGUGUUUCUUGAGUACUGGAGAGGCAGACGGAAUUCCUAGUGUAGCGGUGAAAUGCGUAGAUAUUAGGAGGAACACCAGUGGCGAAAGCGGCUCUCUGGCCUGUAACUGACACUGAGGCUCGAAAGCGUGGGGAGCAAACAGG
This 253-nucleotide ribosomal RNA is filed under the name uncultured bacterium. RNAcentral's name for it is "partial 16S ribosomal RNA". It matches the Rfam family "Bacterial small subunit ribosomal RNA", at positions 524 to 776 of the family's 1533-position model. The record is from RNAcentral.